Long non-coding RNA from Poecilia latipinna (sailfin molly), 349 nucleotides. RefSeq lists it as uncharacterized. The record is from RefSeq and is a predicted model, not a curated record. The transcript has 3 exons. Lineage: Eukaryota; Metazoa; Chordata; Actinopteri; Cyprinodontiformes; Poeciliidae.
CACCAAAGACACUUCACCAUCAGUGAUCACAAGAUCAUCCAAGGACUUGGUUUAUUACAGUCCCUGUGGCAAGCAGUUUUCUGCAUGGUCAGCAUUGAAGGCCAUAUUGUCUUUGAGAGGGCCCAGCCAACAUUCCAGACAGGACAGUGUUGUCCAUCUUCUUCAUCUUCAGCCUCCAGUAUCAACAUGAGGCAGCCAAGACUUUGGAGUUCAUUUAACGAAAGGGGCACAAAAGCCGGUCAUGGGAAGAUGGUAUCCAAAAAAACAGGAAAGACCAUUCAAAAGAAAAAGUGACAAUGUUCAGGUUUCCACCUUCAUCAAAAACUUGAUGAACUUUGAGUGACAUCUC